AAGGGCUAAUUGCAAGGGCUAAUUGCAAGGGCUGGUAAUUCCAAGGGCUAAUUGCAAGGGCUAACCUUGCAGCCUCAUCUCCCCACCCCUUAUGAGCUGACAUUUUGCUUGACACAGGAAUGUCCGGGAGCGAGAUCCACAGGCUGCAGAGGUUCCUACGACCUGGAAGCAGACCCAGUAGAGGAGUGCAUGCUCCAGCACCGACUCCACAACACACCAUGAAAUGUGUAGAGUCCCUCUAACUGAAAAUGCCCAACUCCUGGCAACGCCUGCCCAGGUAACUCUGUCUCCCAAUGACAUACAGAGGCCAGAAGGGUUCAGGAGCGCAGGAAAAGCUCAGCAGGGCUCAUCAGGAAAGUGGAAACACACUAGAACCAGAGAUACCACGCAGACACACGAGCAGAGCAAGCUGCAAAAAAGCCCGAUAGCCACACACUGGGUCCGCGCACUGCAAGCCCUCCAGUUACAGAGCGUGGGAAAUGAGUCAACGUCAUGCUGUCCCCAUCUGUCGUGAGGGCUGAGUUGGGCAGAGAACCUGCUUGCUUGCCCUUCCCUCUCUCUUCAGCUCCUGUUUCCUAAACUCACACUGAACUUCAACAUCUAGAUUUCUGGAGCCUGUCUCUGUCCUUGUCCUCUGUUCCCCCUUUGCAUUUCUUCUGGCCUGGUCUGACUCUUUUGCUUUGACCUUGACACCAGCUUUUCCCUUCCAGUCUAAUGAAUCUAGUAUUUGGACAACUUUGAAAUACCGCCCAAUGGUCCCUUCCAGUUGUAGCAUUCCACAGCAUGAGUAAAUCACAGUAAACUGUCAACCUUUUAAUCCUUGUUAAACCAGUUUAACAAGCAUUGCCUGUUCCUUAUGUACGAUACAAACCACUUUACCUAAGUGAUGUGAGAAGGCUUGUCUGAGAGGAAGCCAAGCGGAGGGCAGCAGAGCCUCAUGGUGGGGAGCCAUGGAGAGCGCUGGGGCCAGCUCUGGCGGAGACGAAGACCACCUCUGCGUUUUUCAAUAACAUAAUACAAUAAAUAUCCUUUUUGCUGAGGUCCUCUUGCGGUGAGGUGGGAGUUUCAGGUGAAACUGAAGAAGGUCUGGUAGACCUUGACCUGGUUCUAGUGCACUAGCGCUGACUUGCCUUAGCUGUGCAACGACAGGCAACUAAUAAUGGGAUGAGGGCGUGUCUCUUGAGGGAAGAAAAAAGACCAGUCCUAGACCGGACCUACUCUGAGGGGCAGGAAAUCUGAAUUCUAGACUGGCUUCUUUUACUUCCGCCCUGAGCCGUCCCUGGGCCUCUGCUUCCCAGUGGCUGUGGAGAGGCUGAGGGGUUGCAGGUCCCGCCUCACUCUGGGAGCGGGUGUCUCCUGCCCAGGCUGCCAGCUGUACCACGGGCACCCACUCCGCCGAGGGCAGUGUGCACUCCUCCACGGCACUCUCAGGGUCAGAACCAGGACUUGUGACUCAGAACAGACAUAUCCAUUGCCAACUGAUGAGAUGGGAGAGACAGAGGAGGCCGGUGUACCUCCCCUACCAGCUGCCACUGAUCUCUACAGCUGCCUGUCCCCAAAUGAGUGCCCAGCCCUGGCACAGUGGGAAGGCCCUCCAGGGUUCAGACUUCCCCUCCGUGCAGCAAAGAGGGGCUCCUCCAUGGCCCCCACUCUAAGGGGCGCAGGAGCUUCACAGCCUGGACCCUGCUUGUUUCUUGGGCUGGAACUUGAGCCCCAGUCUGGCUCUACCCCUGGCCUCUAGUCUGGCUCCCCCCGACCCCGGCCAACAGACACACACCCCGUGCUACUCUCCGUGGGCCUCUGUCUCACCGUUGUCGUGGUUCUGCUAUUUAGAAAUGAUGAUUCCCCCCUCCAGACCAAGUCCCCUGUCUGCAAUGAUGUCCUGCCCAACCUAUCCACCAGCUCACCCUUCCUGGCCUAAUUAAAGCACCACCCACUCUCAGAAGCCUCCUCUGAGCUCGUGAUGGUGACUGUCUCCCUGACGCAGGUUCUUCCCAGCACCAGGUCCCUCGGCUACAGCAUUCGCAGGCCCACGCACGUCACAGCUAUUUAUAGAUGUCUUCAGCUCCCUGGAAGGAGGUUCUGACUCAACCCCCAAAAGCAAGUUCCAGAAACACGCUUAGGAAGGUAAAGAAGCAGCCUGGGAGAAAAACAAUGCUCUUGCCGUGGGGCGGCGGGGGGGAGGGACACUUACUUUUUGCUUCAUACAGUUCAUCACUUAUAAAAUUUAUCAGUAUUACAAGGUUGUAAACAUUACAUUAUAACAUUACAAUGUUAUAAAAUAACAUCUUCAGUAACUUUCUACAUAAAAUCUCACAUAUUUCUUUUUUUUUUUUUUUUUUUUUUGGCGGUACGUGGGCCUCUCACUGUUGUGGCCUCUCCCGUUGCGGAGCACAGGCUCCGGACGCGCAGGCUCAGCGGCCAUGGCUCACAGGCCCAGCCGCUCCGCGGCAUGUGGGAUCCUCCCGGACCGGGGCACGAACCCGCGUCCCCUGCAUCGGCAGGCAGACUCUCAACCACUGCGCCACCAGGGAAGCCCUCACAUAUUUCUUAAAUUUAUUCCUAGGUAUUUUAUGGUUUGUGUUGCCACAUUAGCACUUAAAAGAAUAAGGUAGGUCUUAUGCGCCAAAACAGAUCUCUAGCUCUAUUUUUGAGAAAAAGCAAGCUGUAAGACCAUAUCCCCAGUAUAAUACCUCUUAUAACUUUUUUAAAAAAUAAAGUUAUUUAUUUAUUUA
Long non-coding RNA from Orcinus orca (killer whale), 2735 nucleotides. RefSeq lists it as uncharacterized. NCBI's taxonomy places the organism in Eukaryota, Metazoa, Chordata, Mammalia, Artiodactyla, Delphinidae. The record is from RefSeq and is a predicted model, not a curated record. The transcript has 2 exons.